UACGGAGGGGGCAAGCGUUGUUCGGAAUUAUUGGGCGUAAAGGGCGCGUAGGCGGCCGGCCAAGUCGGGUGUGAAAUCCCUCGGCUCAACCGAGGAACUGCACUCGAUACUGGCUGGCUUGAGUCCGGGAGGGGAUGGUGGAAUUCCUGGUGUAGCGGUGAAAUGCGCAGAUAUCAGGAAGAACACCUAUGGCGAAGGCAGCUCUCUGGGACGGUACUGACGCUGAGACGCGAAAGCGUGGGGAGCGAACAGG
Molecule: ribosomal RNA, 253 nt
Filed under: uncultured bacterium
Lineage: Bacteria
Description: partial 16S ribosomal RNA
Rfam family: Bacterial small subunit ribosomal RNA
Source: RNAcentral